This 458-nucleotide ribosomal RNA is filed under the name uncultured bacterium. Its description in RNAcentral is "partial 16S ribosomal RNA". It matches the Rfam family "Bacterial small subunit ribosomal RNA", at positions 339 to 795 of the family's 1533-position model. The record is from RNAcentral.
CUACGGGGGCUGCAGUAAGGAAUAUUGCGCAAUGGAGGCAACUCUGACGCAGCCAUGCCGCGUGCAGGAAGAAGGCCUUAUGGGUCGUAAACUGCUUUUAUUUAGGAAUAACCCCCUGCUCGUGAGCAGGGCUGAAGGUACUAAAAGAAUAAGCACCGGCUAACUCCGUGCCAGCAGCCGCGGUAAUACGGAGGGUGCAGGCGUUAUCCGGAUUUAUUGGGUUUAAAGGGUGCGCAGGCGGGCUAUUAAGUCAGUGGUGAAAUCCCGGGGCUCAACUCCGGAACUGCCGUUGAUACUGAUAGUCUUGAGUUUGGUUGAAGUGGGCGGAAUGUAGCAUGUAGCGGUGAAAUGCAUAGAUAUGCUACAGAACACCAAUCGCGAAGGCAGCUCACUAAGCCAAAACUGACGCUCAUGCACGAAAGCGUGGGGAGCAAACAGGAUUAGAUACCCUUGUAGUC